RNAcentral lists this transfer RNA (52 nucleotides) under Nothopoda sp. Its description in RNAcentral is "tRNA-Gly". Lineage: Eukaryota; Metazoa; Arthropoda; Arachnida; Trombidiformes; Eriophyidae. The record is from RNAcentral.
AGUAAUAAUCUAAAAGAUAGUUUAGUUUUCCAAACUAAAAAUUAAAUUACUA